GUUAACAGUUAAUAAGAUGGAAAAUUGUUUAAAGUGACCAUUUGGUGAAGACUUUGUUGCCAUCUGAUCAGUCUUCAAAGCUGAUAAGACUCAGAUUUUGAUUAUUCUUUCUCACCCACAAUUUCCUUCCAUUCAACGCAGGCAUGCGUUGCUUAAUGAAAUGAUGUUGGCAGGUCACCCAAUUGCGAGCAAGAAGCAUAACUUUUGGCAAUGUUACAACAACUGAAUUCGGACAUGUUAUUGCAUUGUCUUGUACGCUGUAAUAUGUUUUGGCAUUAUAUAAAAUCUAAGUUAUGGCCUCAUUGAUAGUACCAUCCCUUGGAGAUCUCUUAGUUCUCUAAAAUGCAAAUCAACUGAUAGUAAUACUCUUGUCCAUUUUUUUGCAUUUGGAUGUCUUUUAUGUGAGUCAUCUUCUUAGCUCGAAUUUAUAAGCGCAAACUUUUAAGUUAGGUAGCUU
This 457-nucleotide unclassified non-coding RNA is filed under the name Hevea brasiliensis (rubber tree). The record is from RNAcentral. Lineage: Eukaryota; Viridiplantae; Streptophyta; Magnoliopsida; Malpighiales; Euphorbiaceae.